RNAcentral lists this ribosomal RNA (317 nucleotides) under uncultured bacterium. Its description in RNAcentral is "bacterial SSU rRNA". It matches the Rfam family "Bacterial small subunit ribosomal RNA", at positions 28 to 334 of the family's 1533-position model. The record is from RNAcentral.
GACGAACGCUGGCGGCAUGCCUAAUACAUGCAAGUCGAACGCUGAAGCACUCUGCUUGCAGAGUGCGGAUGAGUGGCGAACGGGUGAGUAACACGUGGGAAAUCUGCCUAUAAGUGGGGGAUAACAUUCGGAAACGGAUGCUAAUACCGCAUACAUUCUUGAACCGCAUGGUUCUUGAAAGAAAGACGGCUUUGCUGUCGCUUAUAGAUGAUCCCGCGGCGUAUUAGUUAGUUGGUGGGGUAAAGGCCUACCAAGACAAUGAUACGUAGCCGACCUGAGAGGGUGAUCGGCCACACUGGGACUGAGACACGGCCCAG